AGACCCGAAACCCGGUGAUCUAGCCAUGGGCAGGUUGAAGGUUGGGUAACACUAACUGGAGGACCGAACCGACUAAUGUUGAAAAAUUAGCGGAUGACCUGUGGCUGGGGGUGAAAGGCCAAUCAAACCGGGAGAUAGCUGGUUCUCCCCGAAAGCUAUUUAGGUAGCGCCUCGUGAAUUCAUCUCCGGGGGUAGAGCACUGUUUCGGCUAGGGGGCCAUCCCGGCUUACCAACCCGAUGCAAACUGCGAAUACCGGAGAAUGUUAUCACGGGAGACACACGGCGGGUGCUAACGUCCGUCGUGAAGAGGGAAACAACCCAGACCGCCAGCUAAGGUCCCAAAGUCAUGGUUAAGUGGGAAACGAUGUGGGAAGGCCCAGACAGCCAGGAUGUUGGCUUAGAAGCAGCCAUCAUUUAAAGAAAGCGUAAUAGCUCACUGGUCGAGUCGGCCUGCGCGGAAGAUGUAACGGGGCUAAACCAUGCACCGAAGCUGCGGCAGCGACACUGUGUGUUGUUGGGUAGGGGAGCGUUCUGUAAGCCUGUGAAGGUGUGUCGUGAGGCAUGCUGGAGGUAUCAGAAGUGCGAAUGCUGACAUAAGUAACGAUAAAGCGGGUG
This 615-nucleotide ribosomal RNA is filed under the name Salmonella enterica. RNAcentral describes it as "partial 23S ribosomal RNA". It matches the Rfam family "Bacterial large subunit ribosomal RNA", at positions 711 to 1323 of the family's 2925-position model. Lineage: Bacteria; Pseudomonadati; Pseudomonadota; Gammaproteobacteria; Enterobacterales; Enterobacteriaceae. The record is from RNAcentral.